This 343-nucleotide ribosomal RNA is filed under the name uncultured Glomus. Its description in RNAcentral is "partial 18S ribosomal RNA". The record is from RNAcentral. Lineage: Eukaryota; Fungi; Glomeromycota; Glomeromycetes; Glomerales; Glomeraceae.
CGUAAGGCGCCGAAUGAGUCAUUAAAAAAUUAACAUCAUCUGAUCCCUAGUCGGCAUAGUUUAUGGUUAAGACUACGACGGUAUCUGAUCGUCUUCGAUCCCCUAACUUUCGUUCUUGAUUAAUGAAAACAUCCUUGGCAAAAUGCUUUUCGCAGUAGUUAGUCUUCAAUAAAUCCAAAGAAUUUCACCUCUGACAAUUGAAUACUAAUGCCCCCAAUAUCCCUAUUAAUCAUUACGCCAAUCCUAGAAGCCAACAAAAUAAGAUCGAACGUCCUAUUUCAUUAUUCCAUGCUAAUGUAUUCAAAGCGUUAGCUUGCUUUAAACACCCUUAAUUUUUUCAAAG